RNAcentral lists this unclassified non-coding RNA (217 nucleotides) under Hevea brasiliensis (rubber tree). Lineage: Eukaryota; Viridiplantae; Streptophyta; Magnoliopsida; Malpighiales; Euphorbiaceae. The record is from RNAcentral.
GGACCCAACCAAGGUUGACCGCAGUGGAGCAUACGUCGCAAGGCAAGCUGCCAAGAGCAUUGUUGCUAGUGGCCUUGCUCGCCGCUGCAUUGUCCAAGUAUCAUACGCCAUCGGUGUCCCAGAGCCACUGUCCGUAUUCGUCGACACAUACGGCACUGGCAGGAUCCCUGACAAGGAGAUCCUCAAGAUUGUGAAGGAGAACUUCGACUUCAGGCCU